CCUACGGGUGGCAGCAGUGGGGAAUAUUGCACAAUGGGGGAAACCCUGAUGCAGCGACGCCGCGUGAGUGAAGAAGUAUUUCGGUACGUAAAGCUCUAUCAGCAGGGAAGAAAAUGACGGUACCUGACUAAGAAGCCCCGGCUAACUACGUGCCAGCAGCCGCGGUAAUACGUAGGGGGCAAGCGUUAUCCGGAUUUACUGGGUGUAAAGGGAGCGUAGACGGCAGCGCAAGUCUGGAGUGAAAUCCCAUGGCUUAACCAUGGAACUGCUUUGGAAACUGUGCAGCUAGAGUGCAGGAGAGGUAAGCGGAAUUCCUAGUGUAGCGGUGAAAUGCGUAGAUAUUAGGUGGAACACCAGUGGCGAAGGCGGCUUACUGGACUGUAACUGACGUUGAGGCUCGAAAGCGUGGGGAGCAAACAGGAUUAGAUAUCCGAGUAGUC
RNAcentral lists this ribosomal RNA (440 nucleotides) under uncultured bacterium. RNAcentral's name for it is "partial 16S ribosomal RNA". It matches the Rfam family "Bacterial small subunit ribosomal RNA", at positions 338 to 795 of the family's 1533-position model. The record is from RNAcentral.